UACGUAUGGAGCAAGCGUUAUCCGGAUUUACUGGGUGUAAAGGGAGUGUAGGCGGCAUUAUAAGUCUGAUGUGAAAACUCAGGGCUCAACCUUGAGAUUGCAUUGGAAACUGUAAAGCUAGAGUGUCGGAGAGGUAAGCGGAAUUCCUGGUGUAGCAGUGAAAUGCGUAGAUAUCAGGAAGAACAUCGGUGGCGAAGGCGGCUUACUGGACGAUAACUGACGCUGAGGCUCGAAAGCGUGGGGAG
This 245-nucleotide ribosomal RNA is filed under the name uncultured Shuttleworthella sp. RNAcentral describes it as "uncultured Shuttleworthia sp. partial 16S ribosomal RNA". It matches the Rfam family "Bacterial small subunit ribosomal RNA", at positions 524 to 768 of the family's 1533-position model. Lineage: Bacteria; Bacillati; Bacillota; Clostridia; Lachnospirales; Lachnospiraceae. The record is from RNAcentral.